UUUCCGUAGGUGAACCUGCGGAAGGAUCAUUCAUAAUAAGUGUUUUAUGGCACUUUUUUAAAUCCAUAUCCACCUUGUGUGCAAUGUCAGGGUUGAUUUUUCUCUCGAGAGGAUCAGCCCCAAACAUCAACUAUAUCUCAACUCUUUGUCUGAAAAUAUUAUGAAUAAAACGAUUCAAAAUACAACUUUCAACAACGGAUCUCUUGGCUCUC
RNAcentral lists this unclassified non-coding RNA (212 nucleotides) under plant metagenome. Its description in RNAcentral is "partial contains small subunit ribosomal RNA, internal transcribed spacer 1, and 5.8S ribosomal RNA". The record is from RNAcentral.